This is a long non-coding RNA of Cyprinus carpio (common carp), 912 nucleotides long. RefSeq lists it as uncharacterized. Lineage: Eukaryota; Metazoa; Chordata; Actinopteri; Cypriniformes; Cyprinidae. The transcript has 2 exons. The record is from RefSeq and is a predicted model, not a curated record.
UACUUGGGAUAGUUGGCAAGAGUGGCGGGAACAUAUGUGAUGUAGCUACGUGAACUUACUAGACAUACUGUCUCAUUCUAGCGUUUAAUGCUGAGGAGGUCUCUAGCCUACAAGACUCAGAAGGACUAAACUAGGAAGGACGCAAUCUCGGUCACCGUAGCCACCCGGAUCCAGUCCGUACCCAAACCAGAUGAUGGAGCACUUUUGGAUGAGAGCUGAGCUGGAGGACAUAACUGAAUCAUCAAUGAACUGAUAACAACUGAAAAACUGACUGUUUGUUAUUGUCCUCUUGCAUUAUCGACAAAUUAUCUUCUUUUUUGAAACAAUCUGAACUGUAUAAAGCGCUAUAUAAAUAAAGGUGACUUGAUUUUAAUAAUAUAAAGGUUUAAAUUAAUGCUAAUCAAUGCUUUAUAACACCUUUGUGGCCCGGUUUUAUGUAGUUCCACCAACUUAAACAUUUCUGGCCUUGCCCUGGGUUCAACCAUAAUUUUAUGAAGCUACGAGAAUACUUUUUUUGAGCAUAAAAAUCAUUAUUUUUGUUUUCUUUGCAUGAUGUCUUUACUAGCUUUCUGGGCUUUGAAUGUUUCAGUUGCGUUGCUGUCUAUGCAGGGUCAGAAAACUCUCAGAUUUCAUCAAAAUAUCUUGAUUUGUGUUCCCAAGAUUAACAAAACAGUCUUAUGGGUUUGGAACAGGACUGUACACUCCUGCUUCAGAUGCUUUUGACUUAGUGUUCAUUUCCUUGAUGAAAAAUAUUUGUAGAUGACCUUUUUUCCAUGACUAAGAUAAGACGAAGACAAGAUCAUACUGACAUCAUUAAACACUGAACUGUAACUAUAUCAGCAUGCAAUAUCAUUGACAAAAAAUAUGAGACUAAAAUGACAUUUAAAAAAUAAAAGCACUUUAUAACUAAAA